This 465-nucleotide ribosomal RNA is filed under the name uncultured bacterium. RNAcentral describes it as "partial 16S ribosomal RNA". It matches the Rfam family "Bacterial small subunit ribosomal RNA", at positions 338 to 795 of the family's 1533-position model. The record is from RNAcentral.
CCUACGGGAGGCAGCAGUAGGGAAUCUUCCACAAUGGGCGAAAGCCUGAUGGAGCAACGCCGCGUGGGUGAAGAAGGUCGUCGGAUCGUAAAACCCUGUUGUUAGAGAAGAAAGGGCGUGAGAGUAACUGUUCACGUUUCGACGGUAUCUAACCAGAAAGCCACGGCUAACUACGUGCCAGCAGCCGCGGUAAGACGUAGGUGGCAAGCGUUAUCCGGAUUUAUUGGGCGUAAAGGGAACGCAGGCGGUUUUUUAAGUCUGAUGGGAAAGCCUUCGGCUUAACCGGAGUAGUGCAUGGGAAACUGGGAGACUUGAGUGCAGAAGAGGAGAGUGGAACUCCAUGUGUAGCGGUGAAAUGCGUAGAUAGAUGGAAGAACACCAGUGGCGAAAGCGGCUCUCUGGUCUGUAACUGACGCUGAGGUUCGAAAGCGUGGGUAGCAAACAGGAUUAGAUACCCGGGUAGUC